CAUCGAGACCGGCAGAGGGACAGGCCCUUUGAAGCCGGGGCAGCCCGCAGACGCGAAAGCGACCCUGCGUAGGUGCCAAAUCCUGCGGAGACCGUUGGUGUCUUCCGAAAGAUG
RNAcentral lists this non-coding RNA (114 nucleotides) under Stenotrophomonas bentonitica. Its description in RNAcentral is "SAM riboswitch (S box leader)". It matches the Rfam family "SAM riboswitch aptamer (S box leader)". Rfam says of the family: The SAM riboswitch is found upstream of a number of genes which code for proteins involved in methionine or cysteine biosynthesis in Gram-positive bacteria. The SAM riboswitch acts at the level of transcription termination control. The predicted structure consists of a complex stem-loop region followed by a single stem loop terminator region. Lineage: Bacteria; Pseudomonadati; Pseudomonadota; Gammaproteobacteria; Lysobacterales; Lysobacteraceae. The record is from RNAcentral.